RNAcentral lists this long non-coding RNA (701 nucleotides) under Salmo salar (Atlantic salmon). RNAcentral describes it as "lncRNA (ENSSSAG00000088013.1, ENSSSAG00000103619.1)". The record is from RNAcentral. Lineage: Eukaryota; Metazoa; Chordata; Actinopteri; Salmoniformes; Salmonidae.
CUGCAGGUGUAGUGUGUGUCUGUUCAACUCCCCCCCAAAUACCCUCACCUACAUCCCCCUCCCUACCCCCUCCCCUCUACUCUCUGUAUCUCCACUGUCUCUCUCUUUAUCUUAGACUUUCUGUUGCAUCUCUAUCUGUUGUCCAUGUCUGCUGUGACUCUGAUCCUUCCCGUUCAUCUCGUACAUCGAGCUCUUCUGCUGUUUUCGCCAGUAACACCACGCCCCGAUGGUGGCUGCCACGGCAACCGCGCACAUAGCAACCACAAUGGCUGCAACCGUGGAACCCCUGCCGGAGGAGGGAGGAGGGGGAGGAGGGCAGUCCUCCUCACCCCCAGUACACCCUGUCUCCCCCGUCUCACCUUCGCUCUCCUCCUCCUCACCCUCCAUCUCCCCGCUGUGUCGAGUCAGGUUGUGCUGGGCCGAACGUUCCUCCUCGUCGAUGACGUCAUCAGUCCACGCUGUGGGUGCGGGGCCGUGCUCCAGGAAAGGGUGCACGUGAUCCGUGGUUUCCCAGGAGCCUGUGGGAGAAGGCCUGGCUGUGUUGCCGGAGGCAUCGUCAUCCAGUGAUGAUGUCAGAGAGGGGGUGGCGUAGUCGGCUGAAUGUGAAUCUGAGGCUUCGGGGGAGAGAGGUAGGUCGGGUGAGGCUGUGGCCUCGGGGGAGAGAGGUAGGUCGGGUGAGGCUGUGGCCUCGGGGGAGAGAG